UACGGAGGGGGCAAGCGUUAUUCGGAAUUAUUGGGCGUAAAGGGCGCGUAGGCGGCUUUGCAAGACAGAUGUGAAAUCCCCGGGCUCAACCUGGGAACUGCAUUUGUGACUGCAAGGCUAGAGUACGGUAGAGGGGGAUGGAAUUCCGCGUGUAGCAGUGAAAUGCGUAGAUAUGCGGAGGAACACCGAUGGCGAAGGCAAUCCCCUGGACCUGUACUGACGCUCAUGCACGAAAGCGUGGGGAGCAAACAGG
RNAcentral lists this ribosomal RNA (253 nucleotides) under uncultured bacterium. RNAcentral's name for it is "partial 16S ribosomal RNA". It matches the Rfam family "Bacterial small subunit ribosomal RNA", at positions 524 to 776 of the family's 1533-position model. The record is from RNAcentral.